AGCUAUGGCUGAUGUUGAAGGACAACCUCGCCAUAUCUCUAGAAGGUGAAGAGCCAGAAAAUUCACUGGACAUGCUGAGCCCACAUCACCCCACAAGCCUGCAUUUUGGACCUAAUGAUUUAAGGAGGAAGAGGACUCUCCCCUUGGCACCUGAUGUAGCCCACAGGAAGCUCC
Molecule: long non-coding RNA, 174 nt
Filed under: Fukomys damarensis (Damara mole-rat)
Lineage: Eukaryota; Metazoa; Chordata; Mammalia; Rodentia; Bathyergidae
Description: lncRNA (ENSFDAG00000033126.1)
Source: RNAcentral